CCUACGGGUGGCAGCAGUAGGGGAUAUUGCACAAUGGGGGAAACUCUGAUGCAGCGACGCCGCGUGAGUGAAGAAGGAUUUCGGUAUGUAAAGCUCUAUCAGCAGGGAAGAAAAUGACAGUAACUGACCAAGAACCCCCGGCUAACUACUUUCCAGCAGCCGCGGUAAUACGUAGUGGGCAAGCGUUAGCCGGAUGUACUGGGUGUAAAGGGAGCGUGGACGGUUCUGUAAGUCUGGAGUGAAAGCCCGGGGCCCAACCCCGGGAGUGUUUUGGAAACUGUGUAACUUGAGUACAGGAGGGGCAGGCGGAAUUCCUGGUGUAGCGGUGAAAUGCGUAGAUAUCAGGAGGAACACCGGCGGCGAAGGCGGCCUGCUGGACUGAAACUGACGUUGAGGCUCGAAAGCGUGGGGAGCAAACAGGAUUAGAUACCCGUGUAGUC
This 440-nucleotide ribosomal RNA is filed under the name uncultured bacterium. Its description in RNAcentral is "partial 16S ribosomal RNA". It matches the Rfam family "Bacterial small subunit ribosomal RNA", at positions 338 to 795 of the family's 1533-position model. The record is from RNAcentral.